GACGUAGGGCGCGAGCGUGUCCGGAUUUAUUGGGCGUAAAGAGCUCGUAGGCGGCUUGUCGCGUCGACUGUGAAAACCCGCGGCUCAACUGUGGGCCUGCAGCCGAUACGGGCAGGCUAGAGUUCGGUAGGGGAGACUGGAAUUCCUGGUGUAGCGGUGAAAUGCGCAGAUAUCAGGAGGAACACCGGUGGCGAAGGCGGGUCUCUGGGCCGAUACUGACGCUGAGACGCGAAAGCGUGGGGAGCAAACAGG
Molecule: ribosomal RNA, 252 nt
Filed under: uncultured bacterium
Lineage: Bacteria
Description: partial 16S ribosomal RNA
Rfam family: Bacterial small subunit ribosomal RNA
Source: RNAcentral